UACGUAGGGUGCAAGCGUUAAUCGGAAUUACUGGGCGUAAAGCGUGCGCAGGCGGUCGUUCAAGUCGAGUGUGAAAGCCCCCGGCUCAACUGGGGAGGGUCACUCGAUACUGAUCGACUUGAAGGCAGGAGAGGGAAGCGGAAUUCCCGGUGUAGUGGUGAAAUGCGUAGAUAUCGGGAGGAACACCAGUGGCGAAGGCGGCUUCCUGGCCUGUUCUUGACGCUGAGGCGCGAAAGCUAGGGGAGCAAACGGG
This 253-nucleotide ribosomal RNA is filed under the name uncultured bacterium. RNAcentral's name for it is "partial 16S ribosomal RNA". It matches the Rfam family "Bacterial small subunit ribosomal RNA", at positions 524 to 776 of the family's 1533-position model. The record is from RNAcentral.